RNAcentral lists this ribosomal RNA (468 nucleotides) under uncultured bacterium. RNAcentral describes it as "partial 16S ribosomal RNA". It matches the Rfam family "Bacterial small subunit ribosomal RNA", at positions 28 to 507 of the family's 1533-position model. The record is from RNAcentral.
GACGAACGCUGGCGGCGUGCUUAACACAUGCAAGUCGAACGGAAAGGCCCUUCUUUUGUGGGGUGCUCGAGUGGCGAACGGGUGAGUAACACGUGAGUAACCUGCCCUUGACUUUGGGAUAACUUCAGGAAACUGGGGCUAAUACCGGAUAGGAGCUCCUGCUGCAUGGUGGGGGUUGGAAAGUUUCGGCGGUUGGGGAUGGACUCGCGGCUUAUCAGCUUGUUGGUGGGGUAGUGGCGUACCAAGGCUUUGACGGGUAGCCGGCCUGAGAGGGUGACCGGCCACAUUGGGACUGAGAUACGGCCCAGACUCAUACGGGAGGCAGCAGUGGGGAAUAUUGCAAAAUGGGCGGAAGCCUGAUGCAGCAACGCCGCAUGCGGGAUGACGGCCUUCGGGUUGUAAACCGCUUUCGCCUGUGACGAAGCGUGAGUGACGGUAAUGGGUAAAGAAGCACCGGCUAACUACGUG